Small RNA from Oceanobacillus oncorhynchi, 89 nucleotides. It matches the Rfam family "BsrC". From Rfam's summary of the family: The 301 nucleotide sequence from Kouji Nakamura has been trimmed to a highly conserved ~85 nucleotide long core to form this family. The record is from Rfam. Lineage: Bacteria; Bacillati; Bacillota; Bacilli; Caryophanales; Bacillaceae.
UCUAACUUAAGCAAUGCAGCCCCAAACCUUCUGCUGCAUCCUUGCGGCCCCUUAGCCGCGCCAGUGUGAAUAAGCAUUUACAAAAAGCU